GUUGCCAGCUAACUUUAGAUUUGGGAC
Molecule: non-coding RNA, 27 nt
Filed under: Mus musculus (house mouse)
Lineage: Eukaryota; Metazoa; Chordata; Mammalia; Rodentia; Muridae
Source: RNAcentral